GGAAUAUUGGUCAAUGGGAGGAAUCCUGAACCAGCCAUGCCGCGUGGAGGAAGAAGGUCCUAUGGGUUGUAAACUCCUUUUGUUCCGGAGUAAUAAGGGGCAUGCGUGCCUCGAUGAGAGUACGGGACGAAUAAGCAUCGGCUAACUCCGUGCCAGCAGCCGCGGUAAUACGGAGGAUGCGAGCGUUAUCCGGAUUUAUUGGGUUUAAAGGGUGCGCAGGCGGGCUGUUAAGUCAGCGGUGAAAUCUCACGGCUCAACCGUGGAACUGCCGUUGAUACUGGCAGCCUGGAGUACAGACGGCGCCGGCGGAAUGUGUCAUGUAGCGGUGAAAUGCUUAGAUAUGCCACAGAACACCGAUCGCGAAGGCAGCUGGCGAGGCUGGUACUGACGCUGAGGCACGAAAGCGUGGGGAUCAAACA
Molecule: ribosomal RNA, 419 nt
Filed under: uncultured bacterium
Lineage: Bacteria
Description: bacterial SSU rRNA
Rfam family: Bacterial small subunit ribosomal RNA
Source: RNAcentral